RNAcentral lists this ribosomal RNA (426 nucleotides) under uncultured bacterium. RNAcentral describes it as "partial 16S ribosomal RNA". It matches the Rfam family "Bacterial small subunit ribosomal RNA", at positions 354 to 796 of the family's 1533-position model. The record is from RNAcentral.
GUCGAGAAUCUUCCGCAAUGCGCGAAAGCGUGACGGAGCGACACCGCGUGAUGGAUGAAGUCCUUCGGGGCGUAAACAUCUUUUAUAAAGGAGGAAAUUUUUGACGUUACUUUAUGAAUAAGGGGCUCCCAAUCUCGUGCCAGCAGGAGCGGUAAUACGAGAGCCUCAAGCGUUAUCCGGAAUCAUUGGGCGUAAAGGGUGCGUAGGUGGUUGGAUUAGUCUCCCAUUAAAACUUCGAGCUUAACUCGAAAAGAGCGGGGGAAACGGUCAAACUAGAGUAUGUGAGAGGUGUGUAACUCAUGGUGUAGGGGUGAUAUCCGUUGAUAUCAUGGGGAACACCAAAAGCGAAGGCAGCACACUGGCACAUCACUGACACUGAGGCACGAAACCUAAGGUAGCGAAUGGGAUUAGAAACCCGGGUAGUCC